Molecule: long non-coding RNA, 271 nt
Filed under: Malus domestica (apple)
Lineage: Eukaryota; Viridiplantae; Streptophyta; Magnoliopsida; Rosales; Rosaceae
Description: long non-coding RNA (MDOM_LNC004970)
Source: RNAcentral
CACACACACUUAUUUGUAUUGUAUAUAAUAAAUUUAAUUAAGAUAAAAACAAAAAUCCUAGGCCACCAAUUAAGACCCUACCCACCACUCAAUAACAACCUAGCGAUGUUUAAAACAUUGGUGUGAAAGGAUUAUGUCUGGAAAUCAAAAAUAAAAUUUCUUGAUUAUGCUCCCUCAGUUGAUUCAUGGAUCCCUUUUGAUUAUUCCUUUGAAUGGUGUAAAGCCCUAGUUAGAAUGUUAUAACCCACAACCCUUAGGUUGGAUAAACUUU